GGGCCUAUAGCUUAGACUGGUGGAGCGCCCGGCUGAUAACCGGGAGGUCGAGAGUUCAAAUCUCUCUAGGCCCA
RNAcentral lists this transfer RNA (74 nucleotides) under Thermoplasmata archaeon. RNAcentral describes it as "tRNA-Ile". It matches the Rfam family "tRNA". Rfam says of the family: Transfer RNA (tRNA) molecules are approximately 80 nucleotides in length. Their secondary structure includes four short double-helical elements and three loops (D, anti-codon, and T loops). Further hydrogen bonds mediate the characteristic L-shaped molecular structure. tRNAs have two regions of fundamental functional importance: the anti-codon, which is responsible for specific mRNA codon recognition, and the 3' end, to which the tRNAs corresponding amino acid is attached (by aminoacyl-tRNA synthetases). tRNAs cope with the degeneracy of the genetic code in two manners: having more than one tRNA (with a specific anti-codon) for a particular amino acid; and 'wobble' base-pairing, i.e. permitting non-standard base-pairing at the 3rd anti-codon position. The record is from RNAcentral. Lineage: Archaea; Methanobacteriati; Thermoplasmatota; Thermoplasmata.